RNAcentral lists this ribosomal RNA (274 nucleotides) under uncultured bacterium. Its description in RNAcentral is "partial 16S ribosomal RNA". It matches the Rfam family "Bacterial small subunit ribosomal RNA", at positions 523 to 796 of the family's 1533-position model. The record is from RNAcentral.
AUACGGAGGGUGCAAGCGUUACGCGGAAUCACUGGGCGUAAAGCGCGCGCAGGCGGCUAUUUAAGUUGGAUGUGAAAGCCUACGGCUCAACCGUAGAACUGCAUCCAAAACUAUUUAGCUAGAGUGUGGGAGAGGAAGAUGGAAUUAGUUGUGUAGGGGUAAAAUCCGUAGAGAUAAAUAGGAAUACCAAAAGCGAAGGCAAUCUUCUGGAACACUUCUGACGCUGAGGCGCGAAAGCGUGGGGAGCAAACGGGAUUAGAAACCCUAGUAGUCC